This 103-nucleotide microRNA precursor is filed under the name Rhinopithecus roxellana (golden snub-nosed monkey). RNAcentral's name for it is "miRNA (ENSRROG00000026444.1)". Lineage: Eukaryota; Metazoa; Chordata; Mammalia; Primates; Cercopithecidae. The record is from RNAcentral.
GUAAGAAGGGGGAUGAGAGGUCAUGUAUCUUCUCAGGGGAAACAGGCUCCUUCUGGAGCCCUUCAGCAGGGUCAGGGCCCCUCACCUUCCCCUCCUUUCCCAG